CCUACGGGUGGCUGCAGUGGGGAAUAUUGCGCAAUGGGCGAAAGCCUGACGCAGCGACGCCGCGUGAGGGAUGAAGGUCUUCGGAUUGUAAACCUCUGUCAGCAGGGAAGAACGGUCACUGUGCUAAUCAGCAGUGAAUUGACGGUACCUGCAAAGGAAGCACCGGCUAACUCCGUGCGAGCAGCCGCGGUAGUACGGAGGGGGCGAGCGUUAAUCGGAAUUACUGGGCGUAAAGGGGGCGUAGGCGGUAUGUCAAGUCAGGGGUGAAAUCCCCGCGCUCAACGUGGGAACUGCCUUUGAAACUGGCAAACUGGAGUGUGUGAGAGGUUAGUGGAAUUCCAGGUGUAGGAGUGAAAUGCGUAGAUAUCUGGAAGAACAUCAGUGGCGAAGGCGACUAUCUGGCACAUAACUGACGCUGAGGAGCGAAAGCGUGGGUAGCAAACAGGAUUAGAUACCCCGGUAGUC
RNAcentral lists this ribosomal RNA (465 nucleotides) under uncultured bacterium. RNAcentral's name for it is "partial 16S ribosomal RNA". It matches the Rfam family "Bacterial small subunit ribosomal RNA", at positions 338 to 795 of the family's 1533-position model. The record is from RNAcentral.